Gorilla gorilla gorilla (western lowland gorilla) is the source of this 134-nucleotide small nucleolar RNA. Its record names the gene SNORA75. It matches the Rfam family "Small nucleolar RNA SNORA75". Rfam says of the family: U23 belongs to the H/ACA class of snoRNAs. snoRNAs bind a number of proteins (including dyskerin, Gar1p and Nop10p in the case of the H/ACA class) to form snoRNP complexes. This class are thought to guide the sites of modification of uridines to pseudouridines by forming direct base pairing interactions with substrate RNAs. The record is from Ensembl. NCBI's taxonomy places the organism in Eukaryota, Metazoa, Chordata, Mammalia, Primates, Hominidae.
GACUUCUCACUGAGCUUCUUUCUGUCUGUUGGUGGCAGCUUAUGGAUUCAUAUGAGCAGAGAGAAUCACAGAACUAGCAUUACUUUUGCCUUCUGUCUUUACAGGAGUAUAUUUGGCUGUCUUGUGAGAUAUUA